UACGUAGGGGGCAUGCGUUGUCCGGAUUUAUUGGGCGUAAAGAGCGUGUAGGCGGUUAGGUAGGUCCGUUGUGAAAACUCGAGGCUCAACCUCGAGACGCCGAUGGAAACCAUCUAACUAGAGUCCGGAAGAGGAGAGUGGAAUUCCUGGUGUAGCGGUGAAAUGCGCAGAUAUCAGGAAGAACACCCGUGGCUAAGGCGGCUCUCUAGUACGGUACUGACGCUGAGGCGCGAAAGCGUGGGGAGCAAACAGG
This 253-nucleotide ribosomal RNA is filed under the name uncultured bacterium. RNAcentral's name for it is "partial 16S ribosomal RNA". It matches the Rfam family "Bacterial small subunit ribosomal RNA", at positions 524 to 776 of the family's 1533-position model. The record is from RNAcentral.